Molecule: long non-coding RNA, 1311 nt
Organism: Lolium rigidum
Lineage: Eukaryota; Viridiplantae; Streptophyta; Magnoliopsida; Poales; Poaceae
Exons: 7
Source: RefSeq, a predicted model, not a curated record
UAGGAUCACGUUGGUGUUUUGGAUCAUGAGAUGCAAGUUGGUGAUUUGGAGCAUCAGAUUGUUUUUCGGAGCAAGCAGCAAGGACUUGACAUAAACUCCCUCACCUACUGUCGCAUCGCCUCUGGCUUCUUCGUUGUCCAGCAUGAUGCAGCUGUGGCUCGCUUCGGCCCUGGCCCAUCUAAUUGCCGAGUCGUCGUCGCCAUGGUAACAAACAUCAUGGAGGUACCAUCAUUCAUGAUUUUUUCCACUGAAUAUCUAGUGGCGCACUGCCUGCCAUCAUAGCCUACUCGAGCUUCCCUGCAGUCCUGGACGAAAAAGCCAUGCUGCUGUUUCGGAGGUUGCCUGUGGGUAAAAUUUUCUUCAGGGUGCCCAUUGCCCUGCAGCUCAUGAUUGACGCCUUCAGGUUCUGCUCGUGGUCGCCUGCACCAUAUGAUCCGGCGUCCACCUGCAGCAUUGCUGCCAGUGUGUUCCGGCGAUCAUGUCCCUGAGCAAUUGCUAGGGUAACUGAAAAAGGUAAUUAUUGAGGCUUUCAUGCAAUUGUUGUGGGUGGUUGCCUGCCCAAGCUGUUGCUGGCGUCCAGCUGGGGCUACUGAUGGCAUCUUUUUAUAACACCUCAGUGAUCUUUGCUGCCUGCCUCAUCCCCAAGCUGCUACUACUAGCCACCACUCCGACCUGCUACUACUGUCGGUCCUUCUGGGAUGUUAUAGAAGCAGCUGCCACUCACCACUAAACAUUCCUUGUGCCGACUUUACAUCUGAGGUGAACACAUUGUCUCAACGCCAAGAGCAUGCUUGUACUCCGCCGAGAGAUUCCUACAGUACUCUUAUGCUCCCAUCUUGUAAAUUCUCGAUUUAGGGUGGUCGGCUCGGCUAGCCCCAUGCUUCAACUACCUCCUCGGCUCCCUCUGCCGUGCAACGGAGACAAAUUCAACGAGCCUGAACCACGCUGGUGAUGGCAUUCAGCAUCGGCUAUAACACUCUGAUUACCGGAUCAAGGCCUCUUAAUGUCGUCAAGGCUCUCUUCAUUGUCUACCAGUCAGAGUUAUUUUUGCUUUCUAAUUUGUUUAGGAGUCGGAUGGUAUGAGUAGUCAUUGGAGUAGGAAUAUCUGCACAUGGAAACCAUACAUGGACAGAUUAGUGACAUGCAGUAUACUACUAAUGGUCUUGAUAGCUGAAGGCAGCAACGUUAUCCACAUUAUUAGCUUAAGCAUUAUAGGGGUAACGAAACCACGAAAGGAAAACCAUUGCAAAUUGCUAUUGGCUGAAACGUGAUUAACAUAUACUACUAUAUUACUCCAUCCGUCCCCCGGGU